GUCGAACGGACAGGUAAUGAAACCUAGUGAUUUAUCUGUUAGUGGCGGACGGGCGAGUAACGCGUGGGUAACCUGCCGUAUACAGGGGGAUAACACUUAGAAAUAGGUGCUAAAACCGCAUAAGCGCACAGGAUCGCAUGGUCUGGUGUGAAAAACUCCGGUGGUAUACGAUGGACCCGCGUCUGAUUAGCUUGUUGGCGGGGUAGAGGCCCACCAAGGCGACGAUCAGUAGCCGGCCUGAGAGGGUGAACGGCCACAUUGGGACUGAGACACGGCCCAAACUCCUACGGGAGGCAGCAGUGGGGAAUAUUGCACAAUGGGGGAAACCCUGAUGCAGCGACGCCGCGUGAGUGAAGAAGUAAUUCGUUAUGUAAAGCUCUAUCAGCAGGGAAGAAAAUGACGGUACCUGAGUAAGAAGCCCCGGCUAACUACGUGCCAGCAGCCGCGGUAAUACGUAGGGGGCAAGCGUUAUCCGGAUUUACUGGGUGUAAAGGGAGCGUAGACGGCAGUGCAAGUCUGGAGUGAAAGGCGGGGGCUCAACCCCCGGACUGCUCUGGAAACUGUACGGCUGGAGUGCAGGAGAGGUAAGUGGAAUUCCUAGUGUAGCGGUGAAAUGCGUAGAUAUUAGGAGGAACACCAGUGGCGAAGGCGGCUUACUGGACUGUAACUGACGUUGAGGCUCGAAAGCGUGGGGAGCAAACAGGAUUAGAUACCCUGGUAGUCCACGCCGUAAACGAUGAUCACUAGGUGUCGGGGGUUAAAGAACCUUCGGUGCCGCAGCCAACGCAGUAAGUGAUCCACCUGGGGAGUACGUUCGCA
Molecule: ribosomal RNA, 819 nt
Filed under: uncultured bacterium
Lineage: Bacteria
Description: bacterial SSU rRNA
Rfam family: Bacterial small subunit ribosomal RNA
Source: RNAcentral